UACGUAGGGAGCGAGCGUUAUCCGGAUUUAUUGGGUGUAAAGGGUGCGUAGGCGGCUUAUUAAGUCUGUGGUUUAAGCCCGAAGCUUAACUUCGGUUCGCCACAGAAACUGAUUUGCUUGAGUAUGGUAGAGGCAAGUGGAAUUUCUAGUGUAGCGGUUAAAUGCGUAGAUAUUAGAAGGAACACCAGUGGCGAAGGCGACUUGCUGGGCCAUUACUGACGCUGAGGCACGAAAGCGUGGGGAGC
This 245-nucleotide ribosomal RNA is filed under the name uncultured Eubacteriales bacterium. RNAcentral's name for it is "uncultured Clostridiales bacterium partial 16S ribosomal RNA". It matches the Rfam family "Bacterial small subunit ribosomal RNA", at positions 524 to 769 of the family's 1533-position model. Lineage: Bacteria; Bacillati; Bacillota; Clostridia; Eubacteriales. The record is from RNAcentral.